AUUUGCUCAGGUCCCCCUUCUGUGGGCCUUUAAUUUAUCUGUUUACAACCGGGACUCCCUCAGUUGAAACAAAAAAUCAAUGAAAAUGUAGUUGGAGAAAAGGCGGGCAAACUACUGAAAAAAAAAAAAAUUUGUGAAUGGAAGAAUGUGUUUGUGCGUUCAUUGUUAAAAUAAAGAGCGUGCCGUGACGUCAGCAGCCGCCCGCCAAUGGGAGCAAGUAUAAUAUUUUUAAAUAUCCUCCUCGCGAGCCAAUAGGAGAGGCGGUGGCAAAAACUAGCGCAGGUCCGGGCCAAUGGCGGGGAGGUAUGCUAAUGAGGACUUGGUCAGGCAGGAGCUGAAUGUCAACUAGUCAAAGAUGGAGGCUGGAGCGGGGAGGCCAUGAGGCAUGGAAUGAAGCUCCCUCCAAUCACCUGUCGCAAGAAACCAUUAUCCAGCUUCCUAACCUUAAGGAUGAGACCCUAUCAAUAUUGCCUCUGCUUUUGUGCUCAGGGUAGUAGUGCAAUAUUGCUUAUAGGGUCUUUUCUUUUGAGGGUAUUCUUCAUGGAGAGAAGACAGCCACAGCAGGAAAAAUUAAUCCUAUGUGCCCAUCGAGUUAAGGGAAAAGUUGUGAAAUACCAAGCAUUGUUAGAUAGGCAAGUAAUUGUGCAGAGAUGUUAUGUGUGACAAAUAAUCAUGCUAUUGUGGUGACUCAAGUUGUGAGUAAUGGGCAUAUUUUUGAUGCUAUCACACGGGAUUCAAAAUGGCCUUGUGUUUAAGAGGCACAAGCAGUGAUUGAAACCGCAGAAACCCAUCACGUCUCCAUUUUAAAACAGUACAAGUCCCGAGAUGUUUGAAGGGUGCCUAUUUUGCAUAACGAUGUAAACACCCACAAGGAAUGGGAGGAGAUAUAUAGCCACACUCGGCUGUUCCUGUGCCUGAAAAUCAGUGCUGCGCAAAGCAGAGCGUUGCACGAAGUGCCUGAGGCUCUAAUCCCGAUAACGUCCUCUAAACAAAGCUCACGCCUCUGCCUGGCGAACGCGGCCGGGCUCCGCAGCCCGGGCUUGGUGCAGGCAUGGCUGGGCUGGGCAUUGCCCCCAGCCUUUCCCGAGAGCUGCUUAUGGAGGUACGUGGGAAAGGAGCAGGGCCGGAGGCGUUCAAUCUCAAUCUCCUCUCGGCUUUGUGAGAAAUCAGCUGGGGGCUGACAGCAGCCGGGCUGGCGGGGUGGGUGGCCUUGCCUUCCAUUUCAGGUGGUCGCCGCGGUCCCUUUCGGGACCUCUGGGGCCCAGGCAGAGGGGUGGUGGGAGGGGAUUGGGGCCGGCUCAGGGUGCGGCGGAGCGGCCGCAGCCGCGGGGCUUUCAUAGCCGCUCUCCGGGCAGCGCGGGGCCGUGUUCUCUCCGCGGUGGUGGGCGCGGGAGGGCGAGAAGCCCUACAGGACCGCUGCCUCCCGCCUGCUCGCCCGACCCCGGCCCUGCCCUCUACGUAACCCCCCGGGCAUCACUCCGAGGGGAGGCGACCAGCUAAGGGACAAAGCCAGGCAAUCCCCCCCCCACCUCAAAGCCCGGGCUCUCCCUCCGUGCCCCAGUCCGGCGGCCAGGGCCACCGGGCGGGCUGCCCCUCUUUCCCUGUUGCACUACUGUCACGGUCGCAGCGAGCAGUGCAAUAAUGAAAGGGCGUCAGUGCGCCGGGGAGCGGCGAGAGCCGGGCCCAGCCGGUGUAACAGCGGCCGGGGAAGAGACGGGCCGUCCCGCCGGGCCCCCAAGAGCCACUCGAGCGGGGCGGGGGUCGCCGCGCUGCUCGCUCUGUCGGAACGCGCAGUGCUAGGAGAGCAGUCCGGCCUUGGCCAUCCGCGUAAAUAAAGUGCCUUCCCACGUUCCCGUCACUGCCUUUUCUUCCGGGCGGGUUUUCUUGCAGGUCUCCAGCCCCUCCUGCCUCCCCAGCGGCGGCCCCUCGACGGGUUUUUGUCGGGUCGUCCAGCGUGCUAAUAGCCCGCUUGUUCUUUGUGGGAAGUGGGUGAAAAUGGAAGAUGAGUGUCUUCCUUAGCCACGCAGCCUAAAAAACAGGCUCGAAGCAUGUCCCUGUGCCGGGUUGAGCAGCGGGGCUGAGGGGAGAAUUGGGUGAGCUGUUUACAGUAAUGGACAUCAGACUGGUGGUGUGGCUGGGAGCUGUGCUGGGAAGGCCAGGAAAUAGUCCUCUGAUUAUUAGUGGCCAUGGUGAAAUGGAUACUUCUAUAAAAGAAGGCUGGGGAGGGCUAUUUCCUUUAGCAAAGGACCUUUCCACUCUGGCCUUUUGAACCUGCACUUCGGGGCCCUGUUCCUGCUUCAUCAUGAGUUUUUGCAGAGGAAGGUGAGUGCAGAAAGCUGGAGGAGGGGGAUGCAAUCUAAUCCCGAUGAAAGGCUUUUCCAGUCCAUGCUUAAUUUCCUAUUUCUGUUGGAUUCUCUCUUUCUUCCAUCUCUCACAUGCACAAGCAGAUAUAAAAGCUGAAUGCUUCCCUGCAGUCUCCCAGGGAAAAGUCAGCCCCUUCCCCAGCUUCACCUCCAGGCUUUGCGAACACAAAAUGGCUGCAGCAGCCUGUGGGUGGGCAUGGAAAGCUCAGGAAGCUGCUUUUCUUUUUCCCACUCUGCCUGCCCAGGAAGCCCUUCUGCUUUUCUUUUCUGUGGCAUUUUGCUCUUGCAUAGCUCUGUGCAAAUCCAAGGGGGUCUCCAAUGUGUGAGCUAUGCAUGGAAUGGGAGCUGGGGAGGGAAAUGGACAGUUUGCAUGAGAAGGGGAUAAUUCGGGCCCCAGUGUUUAUUUUUUUGCUGACCUUCUGGGGAUAUGGUCAGUGAGAGCUGUGACAGCUGCUGGAAGCGGCAGGGGCUUUGAAGAUUGUGAAGGUUGUGACCUCGAGGCCCCUUUCCUCUCUCUGUCCCAGGAGCUGCUGAGUCAAUCACGGAAAAGGGGAGGUGAAAUGGGGGCUGCUCUUUAGCCAUUUUUCAAUUGGUGAAUGAAACAGGAAAGGACAAAUGCAAGAAGAAAAAAAGAGUGAUUACUUCCACUUUGGUGCAUUACUGAGAAAGAGGGACAUCUCUUUGGCUAAAGACUAUAACAAUAAUGGGAAACCACUGUGCUCCUGAGAUCCAGCACCUUGAAUAAAGGACUUGACUGGGCAAGGAGCUGAUGGCAGAUAAAUAACAAUGAAUUAGGGGGAAAGCCUGCAAACGCUGUUUGGCUAAAAGCAAGAGGAAAUCCACCUCUUAGUUUUCACCUGAUUCCAUCUUUAGACAUGUAUCACCAUCUUCCACCACCUCCAUGACCUCACACAUCUUCACCUUUGCUGAGCUUAGCUGAACCCCAUGGCUGAGGCUGUUGUGAAGCCACUGAGAAGGACUGCCCUGACCAUGCCAAAAUAAAAGGACAAAGUACAUUGUGUGUGCAUGCUUUCAAACAGCACAAGCUUGCUUGGCAAUUCACUCUGGGCAGCCCAUGAGAGGACUCUCACUCAGCCCCAGAGCCCUCUAAGCCCAGAAAAUGGAGUUUAAGUCUUUUUCACUUUCUAGAAAACAUGAUCCUAUGGAUCUGGCCUUUUAAAAUAGUAAUCAGAACAGCAAACAGCGUGCCUGGCUUUGGUUGACAGAUACACAACAGAGGCAAAGAAGGCAAACAGCAGGCUUUUCAGUUAGUUUACACAGGGGGCACUUAAAUACUGUAUGGGUUACAUAAUACCAUUUGGGGGUUGGGGUUUUACACAUACUUCUAUUAAAUAUAUCUGUGACAUUUGUUUUAAAGUGAUCAACAUAAAUCCAGCCACAGCUUUAAGAGGAAAACUCUUGUGAUUAGAUCUAAUAACACCAGGUAGCUCAUAAUAUAUUUACUGGAAACGAAUGCACAAUAGAUUUCUGAGCCCCACCCCCCAACUGUUGGAAAACCUUGCGCUCACUCUCCUUCAGUGGAGGGUGUCACUCUGCCUGUAGAAGGGCUGCCAUAGAUAGUCACUUCCCUGCAAGAAGCAAAGGCUGCUGGUUUUUAGGGCCAUAUCCUGCUACUGGUUCCACAUCCAGCCCUCAAGAUUAAUCCAACACAGACCAAAGACACGAUGUGGUCUGGCAAUUACGACAAAGUGCUAAGCAAGAAGGCAAGGCAUACUUUAAUAGUAAUAAUUUAAAAAAUCCUAGAGCCUUCUUAGCUGAAAUUUAUUAGGGGAAAAAAACAAAAAACAAAAACAAACAAAAACCCCCACCAACCACUGUUCAUUGUUAUCUCCUGAGAAUCCCACUCACAUAGGUUUCCUGAAAGCAUAUUCUCUUCCCAAUAAGCCUUCUAGUAAGCAUCCUGUUGCCAUCCAGAGGGAGUAGCAGGUGGCCAAACUGCUCCGCGGAGGCUUGACAAUGGCAUUAGCCACCCAGCUUUUCAGCUGAAGCCUCUCUCAGUCAGCACACAACUCAUCAGACUCCAUCUAAACCCUUCCUCAGAACAGUGAGCUUCCCCAGCAAGGCCUGGAUCUAGUAGCUCCACAUCCUUACAAAGCACCCACUGCACAGAAGUCAGCAGAUGGGAAGAAGUGUCUCCAACUUUCACAGCUUUAGAACCGUGCUCUUCUCUUUAAUGUGCUGUCACCAGAAGCUCCACGGGCAGAGAUCAGUGCCAUAAGGACCUAGCAGAACAGCAGGUAGGUGACUGAUUGAGAAUGGAAGUUCUUUAUUAGCAAACCAAAACCAUCCGCAUGGCACUGCACAGAAGUAGGUACACUGCGAGAACUCAGUGUCAAACACCAAUUUGGUAGAAAUCCUGCUUGCUUACCUCGGAGGUGGGAGUGCCUUGUAUUGUAAACCUUAGGUCUUUUAAACCUCCUUAGGUCUUGUAAACAUCCUUAGACGCGUGGAAUGAUCAAAUGUCAAUUAUAAUAAUAUACCAGUAAUAAAGCAACUAUUUUAAGGAAUCACCUUGCUACAACGUCAGACCUCUUCUUUGCCUUCUUCAAUCACUUAUCUGCUGUGAAGCAUCACGUUUUCCAGGAGCAAACCUUACCAGCAGUUCAGCCCGUUAAAAUGAGUAGGGAAUUACACUCUGUACAAAAGCCUCCAUCACACUAUGUCAGAGGGGAAACUUUUUUUGUUCCUCCACCAUGAAUUUCCAUCAUUUUCAGGAUAAGUUUAGGGUGAUAGCAGAAAAAUGUAUUGCUUGGUUUUUGUUUUACAGAGUUAGACCUUAAACACAUCUCUAAAUUAUUAACAACAACAACAACAAAAUCAACAAAACAAACCCAUAACCACCACCACCCAUCUCUGCUCAGAGGGAAAAAAAACCAAAAAACACAAAAACAAAGACUUCCAGACCUGAGGAAAACAGAUCUAUCAACAGCCCUAGAAGGGUACAGGAGACCGCUUCCACAUGCAAGCUGUUACAGAUGUUGAGCACUAGCAGAAUGAAAGAUUCCUCACGGCCAGCUCCGUAGCCCCCAGUACUAAGUCACUCAUUUUGGGGCAUUUAUAGCAGCGUUUGGAGCAAGUUGAAGAGCAGUUUUGCCAUUUCCCUGUUCAGUCUUUGGCCACAUUCUCUGAUCAAAAUCGAUUCCAUCUUCUUCCCCUUUCCCUCUUCACACAAACAUCCUCCCCACUAUUCCUACUGUGAGGAGAACGCUUACAAAAGAACAACGAAUCAAACCAAUACAACCAAGAAAAUACACCAAGCCAACACACAGACACUGAAAAAGCAAGAGAGCUUUUACACUGGGACAGAGUGGGGGGAAUCAUACUUAAAUCGGGAAAAGCCAAGCUGCACUGUUUUGCUUUUGCAUCCCGUGUAAGGGAGCAGAGAACGUGGUGACGCUUUAAAGCCUCGACCAGUGGAAUGGCACCCGAGCAAGAGCAUGCUUCAC
Long non-coding RNA from Gallus gallus (chicken), 5830 nucleotides. The record is from Ensembl. NCBI's taxonomy places the organism in Eukaryota, Metazoa, Chordata, Aves, Galliformes, Phasianidae.